RNAcentral lists this ribosomal RNA (775 nucleotides) under uncultured Neocallimastigales. RNAcentral's name for it is "partial large subunit ribosomal RNA". It matches the Rfam family "Eukaryotic large subunit ribosomal RNA", at positions 23 to 616 of the family's 3401-position model. Lineage: Eukaryota; Fungi; Neocallimastigomycota; Neocallimastigomycetes; Neocallimastigales. The record is from RNAcentral.
AGAGAGAGACAUGCGCGCAUAUCAAUAAGCGGAGGAAAAGAAACUAACAAGGAUUCCCCUAGUAACGGCGAGUGAAGCGGGAAGAGCUCAAAUUUGAAAUCUUAAAGGGUUUCCCUUUACGAAUUGUAGUUUAAAGAAGUGUUUUCUGUUGAGGUUUCGGUAAAAGUUCUUUGGAAUAGGACAUCAUAGAGGGUGAGAAUCCCGUAUUUGACCUUUACUUUCAACUUUGUGAUACACUUUCAAAGAGUCGGAUUGUUUGGGAAUGCAGUCCAAAAUGGGUGGUAAAUUUCAUCUAAAGCUAAAUAUUGGCGAGAGACCGAUAGCGAACAAGUACCGUGAGGGAAAGAUGAAAAGAACUUUGAAAAGAGAGUUAAACAGUACGUGAAAUUGUCAAAAGGGAAGCGUUUGACACCAGUGUUGUUUUUCUGAAAAUCAAUUAAAGAACUGUUUAUGCUAAGUUGUUUAGACUUUAUCAGCUAUCUGUUUAGUUUUGAGCUUUUCUUUAAUGCACUUUUCAGUUAACAAGUCAACAUCAAUUUCUUUUGCUGUAAAAAAGCUUGAGGAAGGUGGCUUGAGAUUCGUCUUAAGUGUUUAUAGCCUCUUGCCUAUGCAGUCGGAGAGAUUGAGGUCUGCAGCGUAGAUCCUUCGGGGCUAUAAUGCAUUUGUGCUAAGUUAUAGCAUUUUAUAGACAACUUGUUGACUAUGAUUUGUCUUGUAGCUUACUCGCUUAUGUUAUUUUACCUACGCUUAGGAUGUUGAGCGCAUGUCUCUCUCU